UGGGGAAUAUUGCGCAAUGGACGAAAGUCUGACGCAGCGACGCCGCGUGUGGGAUGAAGCCUUUCGGGGCGUAAACCACUGUUGCCCGGGACGAACAUCCUCUUUCGAGGGGACUGACGGUACCGGGUGAGGAAGCACCUGCUAACUCCGUGCCAGCAGCCGCGGUAAUACGGAGGGAGCUAGCGUUGUUCGGAAUUACUGGGCGUAAAGCGCACGUAGGCGGCGAUUCAAGUCAGAGGUGAAAGCCCGGGGCUCAACCCCGGAACUGCCUUUGAAACUAGAUUGCUAGAAUCCUGGAGAGGUGAGUGGAAUUCCGAGUGUAGAGGUGAAAUUCGUAGAUAUUCGGAAGAACACCAGUGGCGAAGGCGACUCACUGGACAGGUAUUGACGCUGAGGUGCGAAAGCGUGGGGAGCAAA
RNAcentral lists this ribosomal RNA (417 nucleotides) under uncultured bacterium. RNAcentral's name for it is "bacterial SSU rRNA". It matches the Rfam family "Bacterial small subunit ribosomal RNA", at positions 355 to 772 of the family's 1533-position model. The record is from RNAcentral.